RNAcentral lists this unclassified non-coding RNA (2534 nucleotides) under Hevea brasiliensis (rubber tree). Lineage: Eukaryota; Viridiplantae; Streptophyta; Magnoliopsida; Malpighiales; Euphorbiaceae. The record is from RNAcentral.
AAACACGGGAAAAGUGGAUAUGAACACAACAAAUAUUUCUUCCGUGACACCAUUCACUCAAAAGAAAACGAACGCAGAAAUUUCUUUCAAAUGAAUACAAAACUAGUAAACUACAGAAAUGAUGAAUUUAUUCCGCAUCACAGUUGAAAGCAGAGUGCAUCGUCCACUCGGUAAACAAUUAGAAAGAAUACACUUCUGAAUCUGAUGGAUUAACAAGUCAACAGCAAUUAAAGAACCGAAUGCAAUCCCCUAGAAAACAACAGUAGUAAUUACCCCAUACAGGAAGAAGAUAUUCAAAUUUUAGACUGGAUCACAUGAAAUGAAUUGUGACUUGCAAAAUCAUUUAACCCUCUUAAAUCUGCUAUCACCGUGUUUCAUUAUCCUAUAGGACUGCACUAUACCCAACUAUGAAAGGUACCACGAUACCCAACUAUGAAAGGUACGUGUAGUUAUUGUUGUAUCAUCUAUCUAUGUCCAUCUCCUCUGAUAUCAAUUCCAUGCAGAAGCAGAUACCAAAUUCCUGUUCUUCCAGCCCAACAACAUAGCUCCAUCUUUCUCCACCAGUGUGUAAUGUUCUGAAUAACACCUCAGCAAGCUCCUUAUCACAGAGUUGACGUAGGAGCUCAAAGGGUAUUGCCGGAAACCAGCCAUUGUGAGCCUACACUUCCACUUGCCAAAGAGCUCAUGACGCUCCACCCUCUCCUUCCCCUCACAAGCGAUGACAUUCACAAUAUCCUUGGCUAAACAGUGCUGCUCCACACCAAUACGCUCCUUUUGGUCCCUUGGCAGUGUCACAUCUAUGGACUCAAACAUUGCCAAGUAGUAGUCAAGAGUUUCUAUGAACCUUGUGAGGAAAGGAGUUGUGUUUGUGUUUGAUUCUUGCUCCACCAAAGUCACCACCUUGGGAUUAAGUGAUUUGACCAUUUGAAGUAGCCCAUCCCUUGGAUUACUCACAUCGACGCCCUCAUCAGGAGUGUGAUGAAGCUGCAAGGGAAAGUUUACAGCCAGAGCCUCCCCAGGCCUGACAUCAAGCAUGUCCCGUGUGACUUCUGGAGCAAAAACUGGCACACCAUGAAACUCUAUAGGGAUAUUAAAUUUCUCAGAGAUUGUCGCUAAUCUUCUGUGAACUGCCUCUAAGCCAUCACCACGGGCCUGUUUAUUAACAGGAUCAUCAAUACCUGUAAUACGCACGUGUGGAGCUCCGUCUGGCUUUGCUGCAAGAGCUUGAAGGAGAGUUAUCCACUGGGUACCCUGAGCAAUUUGGAAGUCAAUGAUAUGGAUGCGAUCCUCAUUUUUGCAUGCUUCAGCAAUGGCUCCAUUGGCUGCCAUGUAUCCAAACUUCAGGUAAGGACAAAUUUCAUAUAGGAUCUGCAUGUACGAAAGCAAGUCCCUGCUUUCAGGCUCUCUACAACUAAAGGAACGGUAAAUGUUAUUGCCUGAUGACUCCUUCCUUGCUACCAAGCCUUCAACCAAGUAUGCACCAAGGCGCUGGAUUGGCUCUCCACUGAUAGACACUGCACCUCUAGCCUUUUCAAUCAACUUACCAAAAUCAUUUACGUUGUUUUCUGCCAGAGCUUUAGCACAUGCGAUGAGCAAUUGCUUCAGACUGCCUGGUGGAAUACUUUGAAAUUUUGCUUCCUCCAAUGGUUUUUGAUGUUUCUCAACAGCAGCACCUUCACCUGAUUGCCUAUGCCUAGAAUCAAUAGAUGUAUGAGCCGGAAUCAUGCAAGAAACAUGGUGCUCCUGGCUCCAGGCCCCAGUCCUCUGACCUGAUGUCUGUGGUCUACUACUUUCCCCCAAAGAAGUAUCAGCUAUUGACAUGUCUUCAUCAUCAUCAGGUGCCAUAAGAGCAGUCUCCAAUUGCAGCAAUGUGUAUUUUAUGUUCUGGCUAGAAUUUGCAUCGUGCAACAAUGGGGGGCUCAGUUGAUGAAAAUAACUACUGGAUUCAAGUGAAGAGUUACAAGAAGGGCUGGCUCCUGAAGGAUUCUCAGUAGAACUAUACUGCUCCUGGCUCUCACUCAAUGUGGUAAAAGAAUCACAAUCAAAUUGAUUUGAGAAGGUUGAGCUAGGUGAGUUUCCUAUAUCAGAAUUGAAGGACUCAAAGAGUAUAUUAGGCAUUGAAGGAGCAAUUGGAUAAGAAGAUGAGUAGGAUAUGCCAGCACCAGUGAUGCCGUAUCUGAAAAGCUGGUGUGAUUCCAUGCUAAAGGUAUAGCAUCAGUUGUUCCACUACUAAUUCAGAAAGAGAUUGGCUCUACCUGCCCAAUGACCCAAGCAGCUACCAGUAGUUUUAAAAUCCUCUGUAUAGAACCCAAGCCUUUGUAUGCUUGAAAGCAAUAUCAACCUGAAACUUUCCGGGCAAAAAAAGAAAUACAAAAUUUUCUACUCUUCGCUUGAAGACAGCUACCUUUUAGGGUCCGAUUUUUCAGGCUUCAAACUUCGAAUUGCUUGAGUAGUAUUUAAAUUGGUUGUAUAGUUUCGAAAGAAGCAGCAGCCAAGGUUUAAGUUUAUAUAUAGAGUAGAAGCGAAGAGAGUUG